Non-coding RNA from Kogia breviceps (pygmy sperm whale), 919 nucleotides. NCBI's taxonomy places the organism in Eukaryota, Metazoa, Chordata, Mammalia, Artiodactyla, Physeteridae. The record is from RefSeq and is a predicted model, not a curated record.
GCCUCCAUCCAUCAUCCCAGCCUCCUCCAUCAUCCUCCAUUGUGGAGUUUCUGUCCACAGGGGAGAAACUGUUCAGCCUGGGGCCCAUCUGUCUCCUGCUUCAGGCCCUGUGCUGAGGAAUCAGUGAUGAACAAACACUGAUACAUUCCCUACUCUGGAGGAGCUUACAUCCAUGCAGUAGAUAUGUGCAACUAUUAUAAAACUAAUUCCUGGAAAUGAAGCUACUUGCUGAAGAAAGUUUAUCUAAUACAUACUCCCACCUGUAAUAAAGGAGAAUGUGCACUUCCUCACGAUUGUACACCAGCUCAUUUAUAAACAAAGUGUGAUCUAAUAGCUGUUUUACAACAUUGAGAACCCAGAGUGCAAGGGCCUUUACAUACACAGCUGGAAUUGACAUUUAAUUUAUUCCUCACAACAACCACAUGAGGUUGGAAAGUCCAAGAUCAAGGUGCCAGCAGAUCCUGUGUCUGGUGUGCUCUUGCCUUUUGGUUUGGGAAGAAGGCCAUCUUCCCAUUGUAUCCUCACAUGGUGUAGAGAAGAGAGAGGAAGCAAACUCUCUCAUGUCUCUUUUAUAAGGGCUCUAAUCCCAGCAUGAGGGCUUCACCCUCACGACCUAAUUACCUCCCAAUGGCCCCAUCUCCAAAUACCAUCAUAUUGGGGAUUAAUAUUUCAACAUACAAAUUCUGGGGGAAUACAAACAUUCAGUCCAUAGCUCUAAUGAGCCACCCUGGUUGGCAACACAUUGCACAUAUUGUCACCCAUCUUUACAGGAGGAAUUAAACCUCCUGCAACUUCACUUGGAGAGAACUCUUGGAAGCUGUGCCUGGAUUCCUCCAGACUCCCCCACCUGCCCAUAUGCCUUAUCCCUCUUCUGACUUUCCUUUGCUGACUUUCCUUUGUAUCCUUUAUUGUAAUAAAC